UCUCCGUUCGCCAGCUGAGAAUUUUUAUACAUACACAAACACACAGCAAGGCACCACUGUACAAUGACAAGCCAUCAACCAAAAAGAUGGUAAUUUCAAUAAUUUUGGGAGUGACAUGGUGCUAAAAUCUGGGUCUAACACAAUUGGGAAAAAGCCAAGUUGAUGGUUGAAGCGAUAGUAGCUUCGUUCGGUAAGAGUGAAAAUACAAGUUCAAACUUUAAAAAAGGAACUUGUUGCGGCACUCUUUAGCCACUCCCGGAAAAACAAACUUGUAGGCCCAUCCCCUAAUGACUAUAGAUCUGCAGCUUUAACAAUAACUCUGCAGUGAGUCUCAUCUCAAACCUGAAAUAUGGUACCAAAACAUAGCUUCUUAUUCAAAACAAAAAAAAAGUUUAAUUUUCCAAGAAAACAUUUCACAGCUGAAUUUCAUAGAGAGGCAAUACUUUAGGUCAUCAAGCAACUAGGCAUGAUAAUGUGGGAUGUGAGGGAAGUGGCAUGUUCAAUAGCAGUGGUAAAAUUUCAGAAUUUCAGUAAAAAGGUGAAAGUUGUGAGUAGUGUGAGAGGCACAUGUCCAAAAUCUUUACAUGACUAGCAGAACCACUGGUUGAGAUGAGACACCAAAAAGGAAAACAUGUAAUGAAUUGAUCAAUAUAUCAAUGGCUGGGGAGAAUGGUGGUUCAUAUCCUGCUGGCGGUAAUUAGAAUCAUUUUCACUCGUUGUUCCUUUCAAUUUCAAAUUCCAAGAAUUGAUCUUGAAUUCCACAUUGUUUCGUCUUCAGGAUGAAUUUAAAUGCUUUUUCAUUAGCUAGAAUAUCCAACUUAUCCAUCAUGAAGAUUCCCAAGUACUUCCAAACAUAUGGAGCUUCAGAUCCGACCCAUGGUUUGAAGGAUGAACAUCAUACCAUCACCAGAGAUAUAGAAAACACCGAGAUAUGAAAAUUUCAAUCCAACAAUCCUUCUCUUAUGGGUAAAAGUAUGAUGGAGCACCUAUACUAAGGGUUAGAUUGUAUUUUAUCUCUUCUACUAAAAAAUAGAUAAAUUAAUCCAUGUUCAUUAGAUCAAAUAGCAAAUUUGUCCUUCUAUUAUAAAUUUCAUAUGCUAU
This is a long non-coding RNA of Gossypium arboreum, 1101 nucleotides long. RefSeq lists it as uncharacterized. NCBI's taxonomy places the organism in Eukaryota, Viridiplantae, Streptophyta, Magnoliopsida, Malvales, Malvaceae. The transcript is spliced from 3 exons. The record is from RefSeq and is a predicted model, not a curated record.